RNAcentral lists this ribosomal RNA (401 nucleotides) under uncultured bacterium. RNAcentral describes it as "bacterial SSU rRNA". It matches the Rfam family "Bacterial small subunit ribosomal RNA", at positions 28 to 420 of the family's 1533-position model. The record is from RNAcentral.
GACGAACGCUGGCGGCGUGCUUAACACAUGCAAGUCGAGCGGUAAGGCCCUUCGGGGUACGACGAGCGGCGAACGGGUGAGUAACACGUGGGUGACCUGCCCUCCACUUCGGGAUAAGCCCGGGAAACUGGGUCUAAUACCGGUUAGGACCUCCUCAUGCAUGUGGGGUGGUGGAAAGCUUGUGUCUUUGAUGCUUGCGGUGGGGGAUGGGCCCGCGGUCUAUCAGCUUGUUGGUGGGGUGANGGCCUACCAAGGCGACGACGGAUAGCCGGCCUGAGAGGGUGAUCGGCCACACUGGGACUGAGACACGGCCCAGACUCCUACGGGAGGCAGCAGUGGGGAAUCUUGCGCAAUGGGCGGAAGCCUGACGCAGCAACGCCGCGUGGGGAUGACGGCCUCGG